This 253-nucleotide ribosomal RNA is filed under the name uncultured bacterium. RNAcentral's name for it is "partial 16S ribosomal RNA". It matches the Rfam family "Bacterial small subunit ribosomal RNA", at positions 524 to 776 of the family's 1533-position model. The record is from RNAcentral.
UACGGAGGGUGCAAGCAUUAAUCGGAUUUAUUGGGCGUAAAGAGCGCGUAGGCGGGAAGGUCAGUCAGAUGUGAAAUCCCAGGGCUUAACCCUGGAACGGCAUUUGAUACUGCCUUUCUUGAGGGUAGACGGAGAAAGUAGAAUUCCACAAGUAGCGGUGAAAUGCGUAGAUAUGUGGAAGAAUACCAGUGGCGAAGGCGACUUUCUAGUUUAUUUCUGACGCUGAGGCGCGAAAGCUAGGGGAGCAAACAGG